AAAUUACAAUACGGGUGCUCGAUAUGUCGGGCUGAGAAGAGAAAAGUAAAUCUCUAACCGUUUACCUGAUCUGGGUAAUGCCAGCGUAGGGAUUAUAGUGUAGCAUUUAUU
Molecule: non-coding RNA, 111 nt
Filed under: Schnuerera ultunensis
Lineage: Bacteria; Bacillati; Bacillota; Tissierellia; Tissierellales; Tepidimicrobiaceae
Also listed under: 1 other name
Description: Clostridium ultunense TPP sequence
Rfam family: TPP riboswitch aptamer (THI element)
About the family: Vitamin B(1) in its active form thiamin pyrophosphate (TPP) is an essential coenzyme that is synthesised by coupling of pyrimidine and thiazole moieties in bacteria. The previously detected thiamin-regulatory element, thi box was extended, resulting in a new, highly conserved RNA secondary structure, the THI element, which is widely distributed in eubacteria and also occurs in some archaea.
Source: RNAcentral